UACGUAGGGGGCAAGCGUUAUCCGGAAUUACUGGGUGUAAAGGGUGAGUAGGCGGCAUGGUAAGCCAGAUGUGAAAGCCUUGGGCUUAACCCGAGGAUUGCAUUUGGAACUAUCAAGCUAGAGUACAGGAGAGGAAAGCGGAAUUCCUAGUGUAGCGGUGAAAUGCGUAGAUAUUAGGAAGAACCCCGAUUGCGAAGGCAGCAUACCGGCGCCCUACUGACGCUGAGGCACGAAAGUGCGGGUAUCGAACAGG
This 253-nucleotide ribosomal RNA is filed under the name uncultured bacterium. Its description in RNAcentral is "partial 16S ribosomal RNA". It matches the Rfam family "Bacterial small subunit ribosomal RNA", at positions 524 to 776 of the family's 1533-position model. The record is from RNAcentral.